RNAcentral lists this ribosomal RNA (320 nucleotides) under uncultured bacterium. Its description in RNAcentral is "bacterial SSU rRNA". It matches the Rfam family "Bacterial small subunit ribosomal RNA", at positions 28 to 342 of the family's 1533-position model. The record is from RNAcentral.
GACGAACGCUGGCGGCGUGCCUAACACAUGCAAGUCAGGGAGAAGGAGGUAGCAAUACUUCCGGAAACCGGCGCACGGGUGAGUAACACGUAGGUAACCUACCCUUGAGCGGGGAACAACAUCGAGAAAUCGGUGCUAAUACCGCAUAAUGCAACGAGACCGCAUGGUUUUGUUGUUAAAGAUCCGCAAGGAUCACUUGAGGAUGGACCUGCGCCCGAUUAGCUAGUUGGCGGAGUAAAAGCCCACCAAGGCAACGAUCGGUAGCCGACCUGAGAGGGUGAUCGGCCACACUGGAACUGAGAUACGGUCCAGACUCCUAC